CCCUGCGACUCACCUGCCCUGGACUCUGGAAUAAGCGUUGGAAACGACGUCUAAUACCGGAUAGGACCCUGUACCGCAUGGUGUGGGGUGGAAAGUUUUUCGGUUUGGGAUGGACUCGCGGCCUAUCAGCUUGUUGGUGAGGUAAUGGCUCACCAAGGCGUCGACGGGUAGCCGGCCUGAGAGGGUGACCGGCCACACUGGGACUGAGACACGGCCCAGACUCCUACGGGAGGCAGCAGUGGGGAAUAUUGCACAAUGGGCGAAAGCCUGAUGCAGCAACGCCGCGUGCGGGAUGACGGCCUUCGGGUUGUAAACCGCUUUUAGUAAGGAAGAAGCCUUCGGGUGACGGUACUUGCANAAAAAGGACCGGCUAACUACGUGCCAGCAGCCGCGGUAAUACGUAGGGUCCGAGCGUUGUCCGGAAUUAUUGGGCGUAAAGAGCUCGUAGGCGGUUUGUCGCGUCUGCUGUGAAAACUAGAGGCUCAACCUCUAGCCUGCAGUGGGUACGGGCAGACUUGAGUGGUGUAGGGGAGACUGGAAUUCCUGGUGUAGCGGUGGAAUGCGCAAAUAUCAGGAGGAACACCGAUGGCGAAGGCAGGUCUCUGGGCACUUACUGACGCUGAGGAGCGAAAGCGUGGGGGAGCGAACAGGAUUAGAUACCCUGGUAGUCCACGCCGUAAACGUUGGGCGCUAGAUGUGGGGACCUUUCCACGGNUUCCGUGUCGUAACUAACGCAUUAAGCGCCCCCCCUGGGGAGUACCGCCNCCA
RNAcentral lists this ribosomal RNA (768 nucleotides) under Agromyces sp. VC-YC6628. Its description in RNAcentral is "bacterial SSU rRNA". It matches the Rfam family "Bacterial small subunit ribosomal RNA", at positions 113 to 891 of the family's 1533-position model. The record is from RNAcentral. Lineage: Bacteria; Bacillati; Actinomycetota; Actinomycetes; Micrococcales; Microbacteriaceae.